This 753-nucleotide ribosomal RNA is filed under the name uncultured bacterium. RNAcentral's name for it is "bacterial SSU rRNA". It matches the Rfam family "Bacterial small subunit ribosomal RNA", at positions 588 to 1338 of the family's 1533-position model. The record is from RNAcentral.
UCGUNUGUGAAAUUCCGGGGCUUAACUUCGGGGUGNCAGGCGAUACGGGCAUAACUAGAGUGCUGUAGGGGAGACUGGAAUUCCUGGUGUAGCGGUGGAAUGCGCAGAUAUCAGGAGGAACACCGAUGGCGAAGGCAGGUCUCUGGGCAGUAACUGACGCUGAGGAGCGAAAGCAUGGGGAGCGAACAGGAUUAGAUACCCUGGUAGUCCAUGCUGUAAACGGUGGGCGUUAGGUGUGGGGGCCGGUUUGGUUUCUGUGCCGUAGCUAACGCAUUAAGCGCCCCGCCUGGGGAGUACGGCCGCAAGGCUAAAACUCAAAGGAAUUGACGGGGGCCCGCACAAGCGGCGGAGCAUGUGGAUUAAUUCGAUGCAACGCGAAGAACCUUACCUGGGUUUGACAUGCACCAGACGGUUGUAGAGAUACGUACCUCCCUUUGUGGUUGGUGUGCAGGUGGUGCAUGGUUGUCGUCAGCUCGUGUCGUGAGAUGUUGGGUUAAGUCCCGCAACGAGCGCAACCCUUGUCUUAUGUUGCCAGCACGUUUAGGGUGGGGACUCAUGAGAGACUGCCGGGGUUAACUCGGAGGAAGGUGGGGAUGACGUCAAAUCAUCACGCCCUUUAUGCCCAGGGCUUCACACAUGCUACAAUGGUUAGUACAACGCGCUGCGAGCCUGUGAGGGUGAGCGAAUCGCUGAAAGCUAAUCUCAGUUCGGAUUGGGGUCUGCAACUCGACCCCAUGAAGUCGGAGUCGCUAG